Molecule: transfer RNA, 77 nt
Filed under: Betaproteobacteria bacterium RIFCSPLOWO2_02_FULL_66_14
Lineage: Bacteria; Pseudomonadati; Pseudomonadota; Betaproteobacteria
Description: tRNA-Pro
Rfam family: tRNA
About the family: Transfer RNA (tRNA) molecules are approximately 80 nucleotides in length. Their secondary structure includes four short double-helical elements and three loops (D, anti-codon, and T loops).
Source: RNAcentral
CGGGGCGUAGCGCAGCUUGGUAGCGUACCUGCCUGGGGGGCAGGUGGUCGCGGGUUCAAAUCCCGCCGCCCCGACCA